This 21-nucleotide microRNA is filed under the name Phytophthora sojae. RNAcentral describes it as "psj-miR8788b-5p". The record is from miRBase by way of RNAcentral. Lineage: Eukaryota; Oomycota; Peronosporomycetes; Peronosporales; Peronosporaceae.
CUACCAAGCGUACCAAUACCG